AUUGAACGCUAGCGGGAUGCUUUACACAUGCAAGUCGAACGGCAGCGCGGACUUCGGUCUGGCGGCGAGUGGCGAACGGGUGAGUAAUGUAUCGGAACGUGCCCAGUAGCGGGGGAUAACUACGCGAAAGCGUAGCUAAUACCGCAUACGCCCUACGCGGGAAAGCAGGGGAUCGUAAGACCUUGCACUAUUGGAGCGGCCGAUAUCGGACUAGCUAGUUGGUGAGGUAACGGCUCACCAAGGCGACGAUCCGUAGCUGGUUGGAGAGGACGACCAGCCACACUGGGACUGAGACGCGGCCCAGACUCCUACGGGAGGCAGCAGUGGGGAAUUGUGGACAAUGGGGGCAACCCUGAUCCAGCCAUCCCGCGUGUGCGAUGAAGGCCUUCGGGUUGUAAAGCACUUUUGGCAGGAAAGAAACGUCGCGGGCUAAUACCCCGUGGAACUGACGGUACCUGCAGAAUAAGCACCGGCUAACUACGUG
Molecule: ribosomal RNA, 484 nt
Filed under: uncultured bacterium
Lineage: Bacteria
Description: partial 16S ribosomal RNA
Rfam family: Bacterial small subunit ribosomal RNA
Source: RNAcentral